Molecule: long non-coding RNA, 773 nt
Organism: Neopsephotus bourkii (Bourke's parrot)
Lineage: Eukaryota; Metazoa; Chordata; Aves; Psittaciformes; Psittacidae
Exons: 2
Source: RefSeq, a predicted model, not a curated record
UGUGAUACAUCAAUAGUGAAAUUUUUGUGUCUCCAAAAAUGGAGCAGGUAUAGGGAGAAAAAUCCCAUUAGCACCAUGAUGUGUUUUCACGGCAGCUCUGAAGGUUCCAGUCAUGGCCGUUUUGUGCAUUUUGUAGCAUUGUCCUCAUGCUGUUAUUCUUUUUUUUUUUUCUUUUUCUUUCUUUCUUUUUUAUUUUUUCCUAAGUAGAGUUGAAAUGUUACAUUCUGAAAACACCAGCUAAGUAUUAAAUGGUACCUAGCCUAUGCUUUCUUGAGAUUUUAAAAUAGGAAAUUAUUAACCAGUGGUUUUAAAGAUCUCCCGAACAGCCAAACAGGCCUAUGAAACCCCAGGAUCUAAUAACAAAGACUGGAUUCUAGUUCAUUACCCUGCAGUAAAGCCAAACAGUCAUCAAUCGCGCUCAUUACAGCCGCUGGCGUUUUGAUUGGCUGCCUGCUGCUGGUAGCCCGCGUCCCCCAUCCUCCCGCUCUCCUCCAUGAGCUGUCGUGUACCUGCCAAGAACAACAACAAAAAAAAUAUCAACAAUGCAAGAAUAAAUUUCUCUGGUUGAAAAACAACUUUGCAAACUUGUCAAACAGUCCUUGUCACUUUUUUAAAUUUUUUUUUGGUUUUGCACCAAAAAAAUAGUAAAAAAAAAAAAUUAGAAGGGAGAAACUUGAGCUUUAGAGAUGAAUAUUUGUCAAGAGAGUUGACGUAAGUUUCAUUUGCAUAAUGACUUUGUACUUCUGCAUUAAUAAAAUUUGCAUAUGAAGCCA